UGUCGUCCGAGAUCAAACCACGAAUCGUCAAAACUUUCAACAACGGAUCUCUUGGUUCUGGCAUCGAUGAAGAACGCAGCGAAAUGCGAUAAGUAAUGUGAAUUGCAGAAUUCAGUGAAUCAUCGAAUCUUUGAACGCACAUUGCGCCCCUCGGC
This 155-nucleotide ribosomal RNA is filed under the name Herteliana schuyleriana. RNAcentral's name for it is "5.8S ribosomal RNA". The stretch from base 32 to 155 matches the Rfam family "5.8S ribosomal RNA", at positions 1 to 124 of the family's 154-position model. From Rfam's summary of the family: 5.8S ribosomal RNA (5.8S rRNA) is a component of the large subunit of the eukaryotic ribosome. Lineage: Eukaryota; Fungi; Ascomycota; Lecanoromycetes; Lecanorales; Squamarinaceae. The record is from RNAcentral.